Molecule: ribosomal RNA, 465 nt
Filed under: uncultured bacterium
Lineage: Bacteria
Description: partial 16S ribosomal RNA
Rfam family: Bacterial small subunit ribosomal RNA
Source: RNAcentral
GAUGAACGCUGGCGGCGUGCUUAACACAUGCAAGUCGAACGGAAAGGCUCCUGCUUGCAGGGGUACUCGAGUGGCGAACGGGUGAGUACCACGUGGGUGAUCUGCCCUGCACUUCGGGAUAAGCCUGGGAAACUGGGUCUAAUACCGGAUAGGACGAUGGUUUGGAUGCCAUUGUGGAAAGUUUUUCGGUGUGGGAUGAGCUCGCGGCCUAUCAGCUUGUUGGUGGGGUAAUGGCCUACCAAGGCGUCGACGGGUAGCCGGCCUGAGAGGGUGUACGGCCACAUUGGGACUGAGAUACGGCCCAGACUCCUACGGGAGGCAGCAGUGGGGAAUAUUGCACAAUGGGCGCAAGCCUGAUGCAGCGACGCCGCGUGGGGGAUGACGGCCUUCGGGUUGUAAACUCCUUUCGCUAGGGACGAAGCGCAAGUGACGGUACCUGGAGAAGAAGCACCGGCUAACUACGUG